ACUCCAGCCUGGCUGACAGAGUGAGACCCCAUCUCAAAAAAAAAAAAAAAAAAAAAAAUUAAGCUGGUGAUAGUAAAGCCAUGUUAUGAGCUUUAACGACAUUGAAGUCAUUAAGAUUCCUGGAAAUGGCUACAAAA
RNAcentral lists this small nucleolar RNA (137 nucleotides) under Pan troglodytes (chimpanzee). Lineage: Eukaryota; Metazoa; Chordata; Mammalia; Primates; Hominidae. The record is from RNAcentral.